CCUACGGGAGGCAGCAGUAGGGAAUCUUCCGCAAUGGACGAAAGUCUGACGGAGCAACGCCGCGUGAACGAUGAAGGCCUUCGGGUCGUAAAGUUCUAUUGUUAGGGAAGAACAAGUGCUAGUUGAAUAAGCUGGCACCUUGACGGUACCUAACCAGAAAGCCACGGCUAACUACGUGCCAGCAGCCGCGGUAAUACGUAGGUGGCAAGCGUUGUCCGGAAUUAUUGGGCGUAAAGCGCGCGCAGGCGGUUUCUUAAGUCUGAUGUGAAAGCCCCCGGCUCAACCGGGGAGGGUCAUUGGAAACUGGGAAACUUGAGUGCAGAAGAGGAAAGUGGAAUUCCAAGUGUAGCGGUGAAAUGCGUAGAGAUUUGGAGGAACACCAGUGGCGAAGGCGACUUUCUGGUCUGUAACUGACGCUGAGGCGCGAAAGCGUGGGGAGCAAACAGGAUUAGAUACCCUGGUAGUCCACGCUGUAAACGAUGAGUGCUAAGUGUUAGAGGGUUUCCGCCCUUUAGUGCUGAAGUUAACGCAUUAAGCACUCCGCCUGGGGAGUACGGUCGCAAGACGNGUAACGUAAAGUAAAGUUAGUUAGCGUUGAGAGNGCGACGGACGACACGAGGGAGGAGG
RNAcentral lists this ribosomal RNA (627 nucleotides) under uncultured bacterium. Its description in RNAcentral is "bacterial SSU rRNA". It matches the Rfam family "Bacterial small subunit ribosomal RNA", at positions 338 to 1411 of the family's 1533-position model. The record is from RNAcentral.